UACGGAGGAUCCAAGCGUUAUCCGGAAUUACUGGGCGUAAAGAGUUGCGUAGGCGGCAAGCUAAGCAGAGUAUGAAAGCGUGUGGCUCAACCAUACAGCUAUGCUCUGAACUGGCUCGCUAGAGGACGAGAGAGGUAACUGGAAUUCCUAGUGUAGGAGUGAAAUCCGUAGAUAUUAGGAGGAACACCGAUGGCGUAGGCAGGUUACUGGCUCGUUCCUGACGCUCAGGCACGAAAGCGUGGGUAGCGAACGGG
RNAcentral lists this ribosomal RNA (254 nucleotides) under uncultured bacterium. Its description in RNAcentral is "partial 16S ribosomal RNA". It matches the Rfam family "Bacterial small subunit ribosomal RNA", at positions 524 to 776 of the family's 1533-position model. The record is from RNAcentral.